RNAcentral lists this long non-coding RNA (329 nucleotides) under Brassica napus (rape). Its description in RNAcentral is "long non-coding RNA (BNAP_LNC012443)". The record is from RNAcentral. Lineage: Eukaryota; Viridiplantae; Streptophyta; Magnoliopsida; Brassicales; Brassicaceae.
UUUGUUGGCCAAGUCGUAAUCCAGCAGAACGUCGCCAAUGAGAGAUGUGUUGUUUCUUCAAGAAGCAAAGCCGAAGAGCUAGGAAGAUGAUCGGAGAUGAUGUGAUCGUUCUUGGUAAUGUUACUGAUGCUAAAUGCGAAUAUGUUUGUGGUCAAUAUAUUGGGGUGUGAUUGUUGAUAUAUAUCUCUUCGUAUAUGUUGUUUUAUGUGAUUGUAGCUUUUUUUUUUCUUUUUUUGAAGGGUGUUAGGGAGUGAGUAUAUAUGAGUGUACUUCUGCUUUUGUGUAUGAGUGAAAUGUUUUACAUUUUGUUUGGAGAGGAUCAAGUCAAC